UGAGGAAUAUUGGUCAAUGGGCGCAAGCCUGGUCCAGCCAUGCCGCGUGCAGGAAGACGCAUCUAUGGUGUGUAAACUGCUUUUGUACGGGAAGAAACACCCCCUCGUGAGGGGGCUUGACGGUACCGUAAGAAUAAGGAUCGGCUAACUCCGGGCCAGCAGCCGCGGUAAUACGGAGGAUCCAAGCGUUAUCCGGAAUCAUUGGGUUUAAAGGGUCCGUAGGCGGUUUGGUAAGUCAGUGGUGAAAGCCCAUCGCUCAACGAUGGAACGGCCAUUGAUACUGCCAGACUUGAAUUACUGGGAAGUAACUAGAAUAUGUAGUGUAGCGGUGAAAUGCUUAGAUAUUACAUGGAAUACCAAUUGCGAAGGCAGGUUACUGCCAGUGGAUUGACGCUGAUGGACGAAAGCGUGGGGAGCGAACA
This 422-nucleotide ribosomal RNA is filed under the name uncultured bacterium. RNAcentral's name for it is "bacterial SSU rRNA". It matches the Rfam family "Bacterial small subunit ribosomal RNA", at positions 355 to 774 of the family's 1533-position model. The record is from RNAcentral.